GCCUCUGUAGCUCAGUUUAUUAGAGCGCUGCACCGGAAUCGCAGGGCCGUAGGUUCGAUUCCUACCAGAGGAC
Molecule: transfer RNA, 73 nt
Filed under: Paramuricea clavata
Lineage: Eukaryota; Metazoa; Cnidaria; Anthozoa; Malacalcyonacea; Plexauridae
Rfam family: tRNA
About the family: Transfer RNA (tRNA) molecules are approximately 80 nucleotides in length. Their secondary structure includes four short double-helical elements and three loops (D, anti-codon, and T loops).
Source: Rfam by way of RNAcentral